Molecule: non-coding RNA, 1200 nt
Organism: Macaca mulatta (Rhesus monkey)
Lineage: Eukaryota; Metazoa; Chordata; Mammalia; Primates; Cercopithecidae
Source: RefSeq, a predicted model, not a curated record
CUCUGCGGAGACCGGGAACCCAGGGAGAAGGAAGGGGCGGCUCACAGAGGGUCAGCAGCUGGAGGAUCAGCACCAGGGCCAUGGUAGGCAGAUAUCUGCUGGAGCUGGAAUCAGGGCUUGGUUGCAUCCUCUCCCCUCCCAGGAAAUGAGGAAACAUCAGAAAGCCAGACCCAGAUCGUCGUUUAGGGAAGAGAGGAUCGAGCUGCUACCAGUCCGACUGACAGACCCAGACCAGGUCAGUUUCUUCAGUGAUCUGAGCUAUACUGGCGGUAACAGGGCACUGUGAGAGCCCGCAGAAAGCUCCUAACCCAUCUGGGAUGAGACCUAGCGCUUCCAGGACGAGCUGAUGUUGAGCUGAGACCUCGAAGGAAAGGUUAGUCAUUCACCUUCUCCCGGGCUCAGUUUCUUCAUCUGUAAAAUGGGCUUUCAUACAUAAACUAUAAAAUGAGGAUUAUUUUGUUCCGCCUUAGGUGGUCUCAGUAGGAGGACUAGUCACCCCGGAGCGACUUCUAGGCAGAGACUAAGGAGAUUCCACGCAGGUCCGCAAAGUCAGGCUUGCGCUUGCUCUUGGCACUACUUCCUUUACCUCUGCUGCUCCAUCUUUGUUCUGCGCUAGUGCGCACGCGCAGACUCCGAAAGCGGUACCUUGCACGGAGGGACCACAACUCCCAGAGUGCUCCGCGUCCUGGCUUUUUCCUCCACUUCUGCUCCAGGGCGCAAGCGCAACCCGGGGAGGGGGGGGGGGGGUUUCUCGCGCGUAGGGACCACAACUCCCAGAGUGCUCCGCGUCCUCGCCGGUGUCGCCGCCGAGACCAAGAUGGCUGCGAGUAAGUGCCGGUGGCGCGCGGGGCUCGGUGGUACCGGGAACCUCCGGGCGGUCCUGGGACUGAGGACUCGGCGCCUUCCUCAAGAAUGCCUGGGACAAGGAGCCAGUGCUGGUCGCGUCCUUCGUCAUCGGGGGCCUCGCUAUAAUUAUGCCCACAUUCAGCCCCUACGUCAAGUACUCCAUCAUGAUCAACGAGGCCACGCCCUACAACUACCCAGUGCCCGUCCGUGAUGAUGGGAACAUGCCGGACGUGCCCAGCCACCCCCAGGACCCUCAGGGCCCCAGCCUGGAGUGGCUUAAGAAACUGUGAGCACCUUCACUGACAGAGGCGGCCCCUCCCACGGCUCCCAAUAAAAAUGUGAACACCAACCCCA